Molecule: ribosomal RNA, 352 nt
Filed under: uncultured bacterium
Lineage: Bacteria
Description: bacterial SSU rRNA
Rfam family: Bacterial small subunit ribosomal RNA
Source: RNAcentral
GGAGGGUGCAAGCGUUAUCCGGAUUUAUUGGGUUUAAAGGGUCCGUAGGCGGACUUAUAAGUCAGUGGUGAAAGCCUGUCGCUUAACGAUAGAACUGCCAUUGAUACUGUAAGUCUUGAGUAUAUUUGAGGUAGCUGGAAUAAGUAGUGUAGCGGUGAAAUGCAUAGAUAUUACUUAGAACACCAAUUGCGAAGGCAGGUUACCAAGAUAUAACUGACGCUGAGGGACGAAAGCGUGGGGAGCGAACAGGAUUAGAUACCCUGGUAGUCCACGCCGUAAACGAUGCUAACUCGUUUUUGGGCUUUAGGGUUCAGAGACCAAGCGAAAGUGAUAAGUUAGCCACCUGGGGAGU